RNAcentral lists this long non-coding RNA (485 nucleotides) under Setaria viridis. RNAcentral describes it as "long non-coding RNA (SVIR_LNC008501)". The record is from RNAcentral. Lineage: Eukaryota; Viridiplantae; Streptophyta; Magnoliopsida; Poales; Poaceae.
UGAAAGGAAAGUUAUGAUCCACGCCGGGCGUUUUCUUUGUUUGUUGUUAGAAAAACCGUAGGAGUGGGCGGGUUUGCUCGCGUUUGGUGAGGGAGGUACUGAACGGGCAUGAUGUCAAUCAUUGUGUGCCAACCUGAGGAAUUCUCAUGUCUAUCAUUGUAGUAAAUACUGCUUAUGUUUGAAACAGCAGAUCAGAGAAACUAUAUUUUGCAUGGAGAGGGACUGUUGUGAGGUCACCUGAAACAACUAGCUUUAUUGGACUCACGAUGGACAAGGUAAGGUGUGGCACAGGAAGACGUAAUUGACUAAUAAGUUUUCCAAUCAUAGGGGCAGGAAUCCGGCAGAAGUUGAGUCGAUUUUGUACAGCAGUUUCAAGCUGAAUUUCAGUCUCGGCAAGAUCGUGAGGAUAGCAGCUGUCCUUCGGGGGGAGUGGACCAGUAUAUUCACGUAGACACGUUGUUGAACCGUUUGAAAUCCCAUUUUGU